GACGAACGCUGGCGGCGUGCUUAACACAUGCAAGUCGAACGGACAGGCCCUGCUUUUGUGGGGUGCUCGAGUGGCGAACGGGUGAGUAACACGUGAGUAACCUGCCCUUGACUUUGGGAUAACUUCAGGAGACUGGGGCUAAUACCGGAUAGGAGCUCCUGCUGCAUGGUGGGGGUUGGAGAGAUUCGGCGGUUGGGGAUGGUCUCGCGGCUUAUCAGCUUGUUGGUGAGGUAGUGGCUUACCAGGGCUAUGACGGGUAGCCGGCCUGAGAGGGUGACCGGCCACAUUGGGACUGAGAUACGGCCCAGACUCCUACGGGAGGCAGCAGUGGGGAACAUUGCACAAUGGGCGGAAGCCUGAUGCAGCAACGCCGCGUGCGGGAUGACGGCCUUCGGGUGGUAAACCGCUUUCGCCGGUGACGAAGAGUGCGUGACGGUAAUGGGUAAAGAGGCACCGGCUAACUACGUG
Molecule: ribosomal RNA, 468 nt
Filed under: uncultured bacterium
Lineage: Bacteria
Description: partial 16S ribosomal RNA
Rfam family: Bacterial small subunit ribosomal RNA
Source: RNAcentral